AGUGAACGCUGGCGGUAGGCCUAACACAUGCAAGUCGAACGGCAGCACAGUAAGAGCUUGCUCUUACGGGUGGCGAGUGACGGACGGGUGAGGAAUACAUCGGAAUCUACUUUUUCGUGGGGGAUAACGUAGGGAAACUUACGCUAAUACCGCAUACGACCUACGGGUGAAAGCAGGGGAUCUUCGGACCUUGCGCGAUUGAAUGAGCCGAUGUCGGAUUAGCUAGUUGGCGGGGUAAAGGCCCACCAAGGCGACGAUCCGUAGCUGGUCUGAGAGGAUGAUCAGCCACACUGGAACUGAGACACGGUCCAGACUCCUACGGGAGGCAGCAGUGGGGAAUAUUGGGCAAUGGGCGCAAGCCUGAUCCAGCCAUACCGCGUGGGUGAAGAAGGCCUUCGGGUUGUAAAGCCCUUUUGUUGGGAAAGAAAAGCAGCAGGUUAAUACCCCGCUGUUCUGACGGUACCCAAAGAAUAAGCACCGGCUAACUUCGUG
This 492-nucleotide ribosomal RNA is filed under the name uncultured bacterium. RNAcentral describes it as "partial 16S ribosomal RNA". It matches the Rfam family "Bacterial small subunit ribosomal RNA", at positions 29 to 507 of the family's 1533-position model. The record is from RNAcentral.